GCUGGGCGUGGUGGUGCAUGCCUGUAAUCCUAGCUACUCAGGAGGCUGAGGCAGGAGAAUCGCUUGAACCCGGGAGGCGGAGGUUGCAGUGAGCUGAGAUCGUGCCACUGCAUUCCAGCCUGGGCGACAGAGUGAGACUCUGUCUCAG
Molecule: non-coding RNA, 148 nt
Filed under: Homo sapiens (human)
Lineage: Eukaryota; Metazoa; Chordata; Mammalia; Primates; Hominidae
Source: Rfam by way of RNAcentral